Molecule: ribosomal RNA, 329 nt
Filed under: uncultured soil bacterium
Lineage: Bacteria
Description: bacterial SSU rRNA
Rfam family: Bacterial small subunit ribosomal RNA
Source: RNAcentral
AGGACGAACGCUGGCGGCGUGCUUAACACAUGCAAGUCGAGCGGUAAGGCCUUUCGGGGUACACGAGCGGCGAACGGGUGAGUAACACGUGGGUGAUCUGCCCUGCACUUCGGGAUAAGCCUGGGAAACUGGGUCUAAUACCGGAUAUGACCUCCUAUCGCAGUGGUGGGGUGGUAGGAAAGAUUUAUCGGUGCAGGAUGGGCCCGCGGCCUAUCAGCUUGGUUGGGUGGGUAAUCGGACCUACCGAAGGCGACGGACGGGUAGCCGACCUGAGGAGGGUCGACCGGCCACACGUGGGACUGACGACACCGGCCAGACUCCGUACGGGA